Molecule: long non-coding RNA, 2766 nt
Organism: Cololabis saira (Pacific saury)
Lineage: Eukaryota; Metazoa; Chordata; Actinopteri; Beloniformes; Belonidae
Exons: 4
Source: RefSeq, a predicted model, not a curated record
CUGACCGUGAGGAAAACAGGACUGACAAUGGAGAGUAGAGGCAUCUUUUUUUCCUGCAUCAGUAAUCCAUCCACCCCCUCGGCGUUUUGCCGUAAUUUUCACCCAAAUCGGUUGUGGGUUUGCUGCAACUGCCUCCCAGAGGUCCUUUGGAUCCCUGCUCCACCCCUUCCUGCGCCCUGCCACAUGCACGCAGCCUCACAGCUGCACGUGGCUCUGCACGUCUAUCACACGCUCGCAGCAUCAAGGGGAGAAGCAGAGAGCCCGCAUCCUAAAGGAGAGCCGGGAGUUUGCGCUGGUCGUAUGCGUGGGUAUUUAUACACGUCGGACAGACCGGCAGGCGGAAGACUAUGUGCGCGGGGGAGUUUGUGUGUGCGUGAGAAAGGGAUUGAGAGAGAGACAGAAAACCUUCGUUCAUUACUGUCACCCUGAGCUGGCGAGGAGAUGCUGGGAAGCGGGAUCAGGAUGCUGGCUGCAGCAGCAGCAGCCCAUGGCUUGAAGAUUUAAAGAAAAAGGAAAAACACUAGAGCAACAAAAAAACAAUCCCAACGUUUUUUGUUGGUUUGUUUUUUAUUUAAAACAAACCAAAAAAAAAAAAAAAAAAUAGCCGAUCCAUCUCUUUGUUGGAUGAAUUAAUUGUGCAGACUCACUCUCAGUGAAGACGAGUGUCGCUGGGCUUUCUCUCCCUGGACUUUGGGCUCCUGCAGAUAAGUUACUAGUCAGAGAUGACUGGUAAGCAACACGAGUCGGAGGACUUGAACCGGAGAUGCGGGAUUUACCCUAAAUUUAUUGCUCGACUCAGUGUUGUGCAGAUUUAGUGCAGUCACACAGACAUGCGCACACGCUUCAUCUGCAGGCCUGCACGUGAGAGCCAGCCCACCUCCUGCCUCUCUGGAGCUCAGCUUAGCAGCCGGGUCAGACGGAGGUUUCGUCACUUGGCUGUCACAGCAAGAAGAGGAGGCAGAGGAGGAGGAAAAAAGAAAAAGCAGAGUGGGUGGAAGAUUGGAAUGAGAAACCGAUAGACGCAGUUCGAGGAGGUGGUUGGAAGCGAGUGAACCCUGAGCAGGUGAACGCAGCUGUGGAUCGCCAUGGGCUCUCUGGCUGCCUUCCUCCUGUGGCCCCGGUGUUGUGUAGGGGUCCCGCGGAGCCAAGCAGGGGCCAGCCAAAGCUGCAGCAGAGUGGGCAGGGUAGGCCAAACCAAGCCAGGAGAGAGGCAGGUGAGGCGGGUGAGCCGUGCUCGCAUUCCCCGCCGGCUAGGAGCCUCCUCGGCAGAGCGGAGCAACGCGGAGCAGCAGAAAUCAAUACGGAGGAGAGGGGUUAGCAGAGGUUGCCCAGCACCGCCUGCAGGCCUCGGAGCCCAGGGACCCACCACCACCAGCAACCACCACUCCCAGCUCCGCUCUUCAUCUCUCUCUCCUUCUCCAGCAGUCCCAGCACCAGCCAGGGCCGGGGCCCUAAACCGUUCAACGGCCCCACACGCAGCGUGUGUGUCGGUGCGUGCACGCGUGUGCAUGAAAGAGAGGAAAAAGCAGAGAGGGGAAGAGAAAGACUCCGCCUUUGUGUGUGGUUCAGCCCCAGGGCGUUUUUUGACGUCCAACACCACUUGAUAAAAGUUUGUGAGCAAGACGUGGAGACAGCAAAGGAGGGCGAGACACGGCAGAAGAAUGAGAUGCUGAACGUCUCUUUUUUCUCCCAGCUCACACCCUCAUAUUACUCAUCCCACUUUCACUGUUUGAAUGAGGAUCCACCUGAGAUGAUACACGGGACUUUUCAGCUCAAUCCCACUUCCAAGCAUGUAGGGCACAAUAUACCUCAGAUCUAAUAAGCCAGGAUGAAAAGACAAUUUGAACUUUUUCUCCCAUCUACUAUAUCAGGCACAACCUGUCUUUUCGCCUUAGAUUUUCUUACCCUCACAACUGCAACUCCCAUCAGAGGAUAUGGCAGUGCAGUAUUGAUCUGAAGGUGGAAGAAAAGAAAGGCGGGCCCAGGUUUUUUCAUACAUCUCAGGCUGGCUACGUGUGGGGAGAAAUGACACCUGACGUCCGCUGACGUUAACGGCUUCCAACUGAAUGAGAGGUGGACUGAGAAGGACAGCAGUUUAACAAGCCGUCGUUAUUGCGCUCACUUUUUCUUUCAAAAAUGCUUUGAGACUAAAGAACGUUGCCUUUUAACAGAGACGAAUGGAAAAAUAAGAGAAUGUAGAACAUUUCAGGAGGAAAUUCGAGUUUAUGCUCAGGAAGUGAAAACUGCUCGUGGUCGUCCAGAGGGCCGCAUUCCCAAACACAUUUACAGAUAUGAUGAAAUAUGCACCUCCCGAUGCAGUCUUUGAAAUAUCUACCAUGUGGAUGAAAAGCAGUGAUCCCACCCUUGGGCCUUGAACAACGAAACACACGCCGCCUGUAGCCAGUUUCUUUGAACAUGCUCAGCCCUGACCACAAAAGAUAAAAUGCCACCUCCACACCUGCAUGAACACUCAGACACAUCGUUAUAUUGUUGUUCAUCUGGUCCCCGGACUUUGAAAACAGGUAAGUCAAAGCUGCUUCAAAAAGGUAUGUUUGGAGGUUCUGUUAAAUUAGGAGUUGUGUAAACUGUAAAGUAAACUUGUCCGAUAAAAUUUUCCCAAUUUGUUUCUGUUUUAUUUUCUUUCUCAGUAAACUUUACAUAAAGUGUGACUGAAAAAAUAUCUAAAUACGAGUGAGCUACAGUUAAAAAAAUGUUCUUGUUUUCUUGUUUGGAGCAUGAGAUGCAGAUAAUUACUUUCAUUCUGUA